CAGUCGAACGGACUUUUCAUGAAGCCUAGCGAUUGAAAAGUUAGUGGCGGACGGGCGAUUAACGCGUGGGUAACCUGCCUUGUACUGGGGGACAACAGUUGGAAACGACUGCUAAUACCGCAUAAGCGCACAGCUUCGCAUGAAGCGGUGUGAAAAACUCCGGUGGUACAAGAUGGACCCGCGUCUGAUUAGCUGGUUGGUGAGGUAACGGCCCACCAAGGCGACGAUCAGUAGCCGGCCUGAGAGGGUGAACGGCCACAUUGGGACUGAGACACGGCCCAAACUCCUACGGGAGGCAGCAGUGGGGAAUAUUGCACAAUGGGGGAAACCCUGAUGCAGCAACGCCGCGUGAGUGAAGAAGUAUUUCGGUAUGUAAAGCUCUAUCAGCAGGAAAGAAAAUGACGGUACCUGACUAAGAAGCCCCGGCUAAUUACGUGCCAGCAGCCGCGGUAAUACGUAGGGGGUAAGCGUUAUCCGGAUUUACUGGGUGUAAAGGGAGCGUAGACGGUUUUGCAAGUCUGAAGUGAAAGCCCGGGGCUUAACCCCGGGACUGCUUUGGAAACUGUAGAACUAGAGUGCAGGAGAGGUAAGUGGAAUUCCUAGUGUAGCGGUGAAAUGCGUAGAUAUUAGGAGGAACACCAGUGGCGAAGGCGGCUUACUGGACUGUAACUGACGUUGAGGCUCGAAAGCG
RNAcentral lists this ribosomal RNA (691 nucleotides) under uncultured bacterium. Its description in RNAcentral is "bacterial SSU rRNA". It matches the Rfam family "Bacterial small subunit ribosomal RNA", at positions 59 to 761 of the family's 1533-position model. The record is from RNAcentral.